ACUUUUCAAAGCAUUUUCUACUUUAAUAUAAUUCUAUUGCAUCUUACACCCGGCCAGCUCGGAGUUUUUGGCCAGCAAAAGGAUUGCUGCAAGAUAGUUUGUAAUACGUCCCUUCGGAACAAUCCGUCUUGUCCUUGUCCGCGUUCGUGUCCUUCUCCCAAUGCGUAAAUGCCUAAUGAAACGCGUACCAGCCGAAAAGCGCAAAACGAGCUCCCCGUUUAGCAUAGGACAACCCUCAUUUCCCACUUCCCGCUUAUUUCAAUGGCAAAAGCCCUACAAGCCAGACGACAAGCUGAACUAAGGCGAGGACAAUAACGACAGCGACAAGGACAACGGAGGCGCAAGGAUGCAAGGAUGCAAGGGAGCAGGGACCGAGCAGCCGACCAGUGGCAAUAAUUUAAUUUAAUGUGUUUGCAUGCAGCGACAACAAGAACAACCUUAACCACCGAGGAGGAUGCCGUUCUGGGGCCCCAAGAUAACUCACAAUUUGUGGCCGCUGCAACUCGCGACUUGCAACGCACAUCUCGCCACGCGGCAAAGGCGAAAUUUAUGGCUCCUUCCGUUGCGAUAUUCCCCACCAUUUGGGGGCGGAAAAUUCAUGCUGAAAUUAUUAGUGUAAACAUUUUGCAUUUAAUUAAUAAUGCGAACAGCCAAGCCGCGCUGACAGCCGUGGCCACAAAAGUAUGCAACAUCGUGGGGCCAACUUUGUCGCCAGUAAUGCGAUAAUAAUGAGGCAUUGACUGAAGUGGCGUUGCAAGCUUAUUUUUAAAUCCAUUUAUCGGAGUGCAGUCCAAAUUGACAAGGUCGAAGCCAUCAAGAGACU
This is a non-coding RNA of Drosophila melanogaster (fruit fly), 823 nucleotides long. NCBI's taxonomy places the organism in Eukaryota, Metazoa, Arthropoda, Insecta, Diptera, Drosophilidae. The record is from Ensembl.